AGCCAUUAGAGAAAUGCACAUCAGUGUGUGAAAGCUGCACAUGCAGUCUGAUUAUUUUACAAGACUGAGGCUU
This 73-nucleotide small nucleolar RNA is filed under the name Propithecus coquereli (Coquerel's sifaka). RNAcentral describes it as "Small nucleolar RNA SNORD60 (ENSPCOG00000008720.1)". It matches the Rfam family "Small nucleolar RNA SNORD60". From Rfam's summary of the family: U60 belongs to the C/D class of snoRNA which contain the C (UGAUGA) and D (CUGA) box motifs. Most of the members of the box C/D family function in directing site-specific 2'-O-methylation of substrate RNAs. Lineage: Eukaryota; Metazoa; Chordata; Mammalia; Primates; Indriidae. The record is from Rfam by way of RNAcentral.